AUCGAUAAUCCACGUUAAAUUUCACUUUUACUUAAAAUUUAUAUACCUCCAUUUCAAGAAUUAAUUUCAAAAUAUUCCUCCUAACAAUUAAUAAAAAAUUAGGUCAAGGUGUAAUCCAUAUAAAAGAAUAAGAUGAAUUACAUUAAAAAUAAUUUAAAGACUAUUAAUAAAUAUAUCAAUAUAAAUAUGGAUUUAAAAGUAUUAUUUAAACAAUAAUUAUAUAAGAUAAAGAUAAUAAAUGUGUACACAUCGCCC
This 255-nucleotide ribosomal RNA is filed under the name Iwogumoa sp. ZZ394. RNAcentral's name for it is "partial 12S ribosomal RNA". Lineage: Eukaryota; Metazoa; Arthropoda; Arachnida; Araneae; Agelenidae. The record is from RNAcentral.